GACGAACGCUGGCGGCGUGCUUAACACAUGCAAGUCGAACGGGCUCUGUCUGGCUGUGUGCUGGGUGGGGUUAGUGGCGAACGGGUGAGUAAUACGUGAGUAACCUGCCCUCUUCUUUGGGAUAAGCCUUGGAAACGGGGUCUAAUACUGGAUAUUCCUGUCUGGCCGCAUGGCUGGGUGGGGAAAGUUUUUUUCGGUGGGGGAUGGGCUCGCGGCCUAUCAGCUUGUUGGUGGGGUGAUGGCCUACCAAGGCGUCGACGGGUAGCCGGCCUGAGAGGGUGACCGGCCACACUGGGACUGAGAUACGGCCCAGACUCCUACGGGAGGCAGCAGUGGGGGAUAUUGCACAAUGGGCGCAAGCCUGAUGCAGCGACGCCGCGUGGGGGAUGACGGCUUUCGGGUUGUAAACCUCUUUCGUCGGGGGACAAGGCUCUGCUUGGUGGUGGGGUUGAGGGUACCCGGUGAAGAAGCGCCGGCUAACUACGUG
This 487-nucleotide ribosomal RNA is filed under the name uncultured bacterium. Its description in RNAcentral is "partial 16S ribosomal RNA". It matches the Rfam family "Bacterial small subunit ribosomal RNA", at positions 28 to 507 of the family's 1533-position model. The record is from RNAcentral.